AGUUUCACAUGUUUUAACUCUGUCAGAGCACUUUGAAAAAGUGGUCUGUGGUAUCUGGCUCUCGAGAUUCGGAGAACGAUGCCUUUUCGAUUUUUGAGAAAGCAAUCAUGCUGGGGGUCUGGCUCUCGAGAUUCGGAGAGCAGUGUCUCUUCGAUUUUUGAGGAAGUAAUCAUGUUGGGAGUCUGGCUCUCGAGAUUCGGAAGGGCGGUGCCUCUUCGAUUUUGGAGCAAGCAAUCCUGUUGGGAGUGUUGUCUCGAAUGUGAGUAAAGGUUGGGCAUGUUUGCUAGUCUACCUUGCCACGAAGCACAAAGGUUGACACACAGGAACUUUCCAAUUAUCCAGCAAUGGUACUGUUCCUUUACCCUCUCUUCGCUUUUGAGAAAGUAGUCAUGUUGGGAGUCUGGCUCUCGAGAUUCGGAGGACGGUGCUCUUCGAUUUUGGAGCAAGCAAUCUUGUUGGGAGUGUUUUCUCGAAAUGUGAGUAAAGGUUGGGCAUGUUUGCUAGUCUACCUUGCCACGAAGCACAGAGGUUGACACACAGGGACUUUCCAAUUAUCCAGCAGUGGUACUGUUCCUUUACCCUUGUGGGUAAUAAUAUGGUAGCUAGACCUUCAAAAUUUAUGUGUCUAAACUUUGUUAGUGCUGUUUCUUUGCUAUUCUUUUUACCUUUCUUGGUCAGAGCGAUGUAGUGGGAGCUGCAAGCUUCACGUGCUCAACUUUGGCAGAGAACUUUGGCAAAGUUAUCUGUGGUACCCAUGAGCUAUUGUUGCGUGUGGGAAGUGGGUGAUUGAACAGUAAGAUUCAUGUGCUUUCUACUUCACCAGAAGUCUUCGACAGAAUGCCCAUAAUUUCUGCAAAAGCUGAGUGUGCGUGUGACAGGUGCUGACAAGGCUAGAAAAGUAGGUGCCUCUUCGAUUUCUGAGAUCGGCCCUCGUGGUCUCUGAGCAGCCCAGCUUUUGAGAAAGCGAGCGCCUCUUCGAUUGAUUCGGAGAACGAUGCCUCAUCGAUUUUUGAGAAAGCAAUCAUGCUGGGGGUCUGGCUCUCGAAGAUUCGGGGAGCAGUGUCUCUUCGAUUUUUGAGAAAGUAAUCAUGUUGGGAGUCUGGCUCUCGAGAUUCGGAGGGCGGUGCCUCUUCGAUUUUGGAGCAAGCAAUCUUGUUGGAAGUGUUUUCUCGAAUGUGAGUAAAGGUUGGGCAUGUUUGCUAGUCUACCUUGCCACGAAGCACAGAGGUUGACACACAGGGACUUUCCAAUUAUCCAGCAAUGGUACUGUUCCUUUACCCUCUCUUCGAUUU
This 1292-nucleotide long non-coding RNA is filed under the name Malus domestica (apple). RNAcentral describes it as "long non-coding RNA (MDOM_LNC014456)". The record is from RNAcentral. Lineage: Eukaryota; Viridiplantae; Streptophyta; Magnoliopsida; Rosales; Rosaceae.